Molecule: ribosomal RNA, 809 nt
Filed under: Pararoussoella coffeae
Lineage: Eukaryota; Fungi; Ascomycota; Dothideomycetes; Pleosporales; Thyridariaceae
Description: Pararoussoella sp. LL-2023a partial large subunit ribosomal RNA
Rfam family: Eukaryotic large subunit ribosomal RNA
Source: RNAcentral
AUUGCCUCAGUAACGGCGAGUGAAGCGGCAACAGCUCAAAUUUGAAAUCUGGCCCUUUCAGGGUCCGAGUUGUAAUUUGCAGAGGGUGCUUUGGUGUCGGCCGUGGUCUAAGUUCCUUGGAACAGGACGUCACAGAGGGUGAGAAUCCCGUACGUGGCCGCCGGUCGUCACCGUGUAAAGCCCCUUCGACGAGUCGAGUUGUUUGGGAAUGCAGCUCUAAAUGGGAGAUACAUUUCUUCUAAAGCUAAAUAUUGGCCAGAGACCGAUAGCGCACAAGUAGAGUGAUCGAAAGAUGAAAAGCACUUUGGAAAGAGAGUCAAAAAGCACGUGAAAUUGUUGAAAGGGAAGCGCUUGCAGCCAGACGUGCCCGCAGUUGCUCACCCAGGCUCUCGCCUGGGGCAUUCUUCUGCGGGCAGGCCAGCAUCAGUUCGGGCGGUUGGAUAAAGGCCUCUAUCACGUACCACCUUUCGGGGUGUCCUUAUAGGGGAGGCGCAACACGACCAGCCCGAACUGAGGACCGCGCAUCAAGCUAGGAUGCUGGCGUAAUGGCUGUAAGCGGCCCGUCUUGAAACACGGACCAAGGAGUCUAACAUCUAUGCGAGUGUUUGGGUGUCAAGCCCGGGCGCGCAAUGAAAGUGAACGGAGGUGGGAACCCCUCGGGGUGCACCAUCGACCGAUCCUGAAGUCUUCGGAUGGAUUUGAGUAAGAGCAUAGCUGUUGGGACCCGAAAGAUGGUGAACUAUGCCUGAAUAGGGUGAAGCCAGGGGAAACCCUGGUGGAGGCUCGCAGCGGUUCUGACGUGCAAAUCG